RNAcentral lists this ribosomal RNA (301 nucleotides) under uncultured bacterium. Its description in RNAcentral is "partial 16S ribosomal RNA". It matches the Rfam family "Bacterial small subunit ribosomal RNA", at positions 509 to 807 of the family's 1533-position model. The record is from RNAcentral.
CAGCCGCCGCGGUAAUACGUAGGUGGCAAGCGUUAAUCGGAAUUACUGGGCGUAAAGCGUGCGCAGGCGGUUCUAUAAGACAGAUGUGAAAUCCCCGGGCUCAACCUGGGAACUGCAUUUGUGACUGUAGAGCUGGAGUGCGGCAGAGGGGGAUGGAAUUCCGCGUGUAGCAGUGAAAUGCGUAGAUAUGUGGAGGAACACCGAUGGCGAAGGCAAUCCCCUGGGCCUGCACUGACGCUCAUGCACGAAAGCGUGGGGAGCAAACAGGAUUAGAGACCCCCGUAGUCCCUGUCUCUUAUAC